UGGGGAAUAUUGCGCAAUGGGCGAAAGCCUGACGCAGCGACGCCUCGUGAGGGAUGAAGGUUCUCGGAUCGUAAAUCUCUGUCAGGGGGGAAGAAACCCCCUCGUGUGAAUAAUGCGAGGGCUUGACGGUACCCCCAAAGGAAGCACCGGCUAACUCCGUGCCAGCAGCCGCGGUAAUACGGAGGGUGCAAGCGUUAAUCGGAAUCACUGGGCGUAAAGCGCACGUAGGCGGCUUGGUAAGUCAGGGGUGAAAUCCCACAGCCCAACUGUGGAACUGCCUUUGAUACUGCCAGGCUUGAGUACCGGAGAGGGUGGCGGAAUUCCAGGUGUAGGAGUGAAAUCCGUAGAUAUCUGGAGGAACACCGGUGGCGAAGGCGGCCACCUGGACGGUAACUGACGCUGAGGUGCGAAAGCGUGGGUAGCAAACAGG
RNAcentral lists this ribosomal RNA (430 nucleotides) under bacterium. Its description in RNAcentral is "partial 16S ribosomal RNA". It matches the Rfam family "Bacterial small subunit ribosomal RNA", at positions 355 to 776 of the family's 1533-position model. The record is from RNAcentral.